Molecule: ribosomal RNA, 292 nt
Filed under: uncultured bacterium
Lineage: Bacteria
Description: partial 16S ribosomal RNA
Rfam family: Bacterial small subunit ribosomal RNA
Source: RNAcentral
GUGUCAGCAGCCGCGGUAAUACGGAGGAUGCAAGCGUUAUCCGGAAUGAUUGGGCGUAAAGGGUCCGCAGGUGGCAAUGUAAGUCUGCUGUUAAAGAGUCUAGCUCAACUAGAUAAAGGCGGUGGAAACUACAUAGCUAGAGUACGUUCGGGGCAGAAGGAAUUCCUGGUGUAGCGGUGAAAUGCGUAGAUAUCAGGAAGAACACCGGUGGCGAAAGCGUUCUGCUAGGCCGUAACUGACACUGAGGGACGAAAGCUAGGGGAGCGAAUGGGAUUAGAUACCCCCGUAGUCC